Malaclemys terrapin pileata is the source of this 2318-nucleotide long non-coding RNA. RefSeq lists it as uncharacterized. Lineage: Eukaryota; Metazoa; Chordata; Testudines; Emydidae. The transcript is spliced from 2 exons. The record is from RefSeq and is a predicted model, not a curated record.
CACAACACAGCAAUACUUAAUGGUUUUUCAGAGUGGUAGCUGUGUUAGUCUGUAUCAGCAAAAAGAACAGGAGUACUUGUGGCACCUUAGAGACUAACAAAUUUAUCCGAGCAUAAGCUUUCAUGGGCUAAAGCCCACUUCAUCGGAUGCGUGCAGUGGAAAAUACAGUAGGAAGAUAUAUAUACACACACAGAGAACAUAGAUUCAAGGACUGGAAGGGACCUCGACAGGUCAGAGUCCAGUCCCCUACCCUCAUAGCAGAACCAAAUACUGUCUAGACCAUCCCUGAUAGACAUUUAUCUAACCUACUCUUAAAUAUCUCCAGAGAUGGAGAUUCCACAACCUCCCUAGGCAAUUUAUUCCAGUGUUUAACCACCCUGACAGUUAGGAACUUUUUCCUAAUGUCCAACCUAAACCUCCCUUGCUGCAGUUUAAGCCCAUUGCUUCUUGUUCUAUCCUUAGAGGCUAAGGUGAACAAGUUUUCUCCCUCCUCCUUAUGACACCCUUUUAGAUACCUGAAAACUGCUAUCAUGUCCCCUCUCAGUCUUCUCUUUCCCAAACUAAACAAACGCAAUUCUUUCAGCCUUCCUUCAUAGGUCAUGUUCUCAAGACCUUUAAUCAUUCUUGUUGCUCUUCUCUGGACCCUCUCCAAUUUCUCCACAUCUUUCUUGAAAUGCGGUGCCCAGAACUGGACACAAUACUGCAGUUGAGGCCUAACCAGUGCAGAGUAGAGCAGAAGAAUGACUUCUCGUGUCUUGCUCACAACACACCUGUUAAUGCAUCCCAGAAUCAUGUUUGCUUUUUUUGCAACAGCAUCACACUGUUGACUCAUAUUUAGCUUGUGGUCAACUAUACCCCUAGAUCCCUUUCUGCCGUACUCCUUCCUAGACAGUCUCUUCCCAUUCUGUAUGUGUGAAACUGAUUGUUCCUUCCUAAGUGGAAAAAAUGGGUGCUGGCUCCAAGGUGGGGCUAAAAAUGAGGACUUCAGGGUGCGGGAGGGGACUCUGGGCUAGGGCAGGGGAGUAAGGUGCGGGGGUUCGGGCUCCGACUGGGGGUGCGGGCUCUGGGAUGAGGCUGGGGUUGGGGUGCAGGAGGGUGCUCCGGGCUGGGAAUGAGGGGUUCAGAGGGCGGGAAGGGGAUCAGGGCUGCAGCAGGAGGUUGGGGCGGUGGGAGAGGCUCAGGGUGGAGCUUAUCUCAAACUAAUUUGUCAUGCAUUUCAAUUCAGUAACAGCUAUACAAUUUACAAUCAAUCAAUGUUAUAUUAUUCAUUAUCUGAAACCAAAGGAAGUUAUAUUUUACCAGAAAACAAUGGCUAAAUAUUUGCAGUUAUAAAUAUAGCAAAUUUUUAAUAUACAGCCCUUCAAUAUUACUGAAAGUUUCAAGCCAUUUCAAGAUUUCAUCCUUCAAGUGAUAAUUUCUGAGCCUGCAUUACUGACUUAUAGUUUUAAUAUAAAUACUUGCAGCUACUAUGUUACAUUUCCUGACUUAUACCUUCAUGUAAUUAAAAGCUGCAAUAUUGCACAAGUAUAGGAGGUAAAUAUACUGUCACAAUGCAAAUCUUAACCCUGAGUUUUCUCAUUUUGGGGAGAUUAAAACCUCAACAGUAUUUCACUAACUAUGGGCCCAGUGCUGCUCUCAGAAAAGUAAGUUACCAUAUUCCACAAAUUUACUAGGAGCAGGGAUGGGCUCAAACACUAGGGCUUGGAUCCUGCAUGCCUUACUCUCAAUGACUUCACUGGGACUGCUCACGAGAGCAAGUGCUCAAAUACUAGCCAAGGAUAUAUCCUAUAAGGAAAUGACUUAAUCCUGUGCCAGAUGUGAUUACCCUGUGUUUUAUUUCAUAUUUCUACAUUCUGCUGUGCCAAGAGAUUAUAUGCAUGUUGUGGUUGGCAGCAUUGUACCUUUCUACUUUCUCAAGGCUAGUUAAAAUUUAUCAGCCAACAGUAAUUGUAAGUAAAUUAAAUGUGCUCAUUAAAUUCAUUUUUGUUUCCACUAAAAGGAGGAGACAAACAGAAAAUUCCAUUUGCUGAACACCUCAAAUGUUAAGCUAAAAAAGCCUAUGCUUAGUGGAGGAGUGAAGGAAAAGCAUCUUGCCGGACCUAAAAUCCCGCCGAGGCUGAUGGUACAAGAGGCAGGAAGCCAUGCCACAUCCAAUAAAGAGCAGGUCUAUUUUCAGCUACACUAUUCUGAGAUGUAAUUCUUUGACUAUGGACUUAGAAGUUCUACUGGGAAUUUCUGUUAAGUUUUUAGUUAUAACUAGAAGUUCUCUUACAAUCUAAGGAGGAGCUUUGUUUCUUUAAAAAAAAAAAAACAAAGCA